AUGGAUGAAUUAAUAAAAUAAAUUAUAAUAAAAGAAAUUUUAAUAUUAGAAAUAUAUGGGGGUUAAAGUAUUUUUAAUAGAAAAAAUUUUUAAUUUUAUAGUUAAUUAGUAUUGUAAAAGAAAUUUGAAAUAAAUUUGAAAAUAAAAUUAUUUAAAAGUAAAUUUAAUUUAUUGUAUCUUGUGUAUCAGAGUUUAUUAAUUAAAUAUGUAUGUAAAUAUAAUUCUCGAAUUUAAAAGAGUUAAUUAAUUAAAAAAUUUAUUGUUUUAUAAAUAUUUUAAAUAAUUAAUUAGAAAUGAAAUGUUAAUCGUUUUUAAAUAUAUCUAGUUUUUUUAGAAAAAAAUUAAAUUUUUAAUUAAAUAAAAAAUUUAUUUAAUAAUUAAAUAAAUUUUUUAUUUAAUUUAAUAAUUUAAGGGAUAAGCUUUAAAUUAAAAAUUUAUAAUAAAAUAUAAAAAUUGAAAAUUUUAUAAUUUAUAUUGUUAAUAAAUUUUAUUUUAUUAUAAAUAAUUUCAUUAAAAUUUAAAAUUUAAUUUAAAUUUAAAUUUUUAUAAAAAAAUAUUUUUUAUCAAUAACAAAAUAGUUAUAAUGAUAAAAUUAGUAUAUAAUUUAUAAAAUUUUUAUAUGUAAAAUAAAAAAAAAAUAGUUUAAUUUUAUGAUAAUUAUUUUAAAGGAACUCGACAAAAUUAUUAUAUUAAAAAUAAAUAUAAAAUAUGUUCACCUGUUUAUCAAAAACAUGUCUUUUUGAAAUUAAUUUAAAGUCUAAUCUGCCCACUGAUAAUAAUUGAAGGGCUGCAGUAUAUUGACUGUACAAAGGUAGCAUAAUCAUUAGUCUCUUAAUUGGUGACUUGUAUGAAAGAUUGGAUGAAAUAUAAAUUGUCUCUAUUAUAUAUAAUUGAAUUUAAUUUUUUAAUUAAAAAGUUAAAAUAUAUUAAAAAGACGAGAAGACCCUAUAGAGUUUUAUAUUUUUUAUUUUUAAAAUUAUAAAUUUAUAUUAAUAAUAUAUUUUAAAAAUAAAAAAUAUUUUAUUGGGGUGAUAAAAAAAUUUGUUUAACUUUUUUUAAAAUUUUACAUAAAUAAGUGGUUUAUUGAUCCAAUAAUAUUGAUUAUAAGAAAAAAUUACCUUAGGGAUAACAGCGUAAUUUUUUUUUUUAGUACAAAUAAGAAAAAAAGUUUGCGACCUCGAUGUUGGAUUAAGAUAAAAUUUAAAUGCAAAAAUUUAAAAUUUUGAUCUGUUCGAUCAUUAAAAUCUUACAUGAUCUGAGUUCAAACCGGUGUAAGCCAGGUUGGUUUCUAUCUUUUAAUAAUUUUAAUAUUUUAGUACGAAAGGAUCAAAUAUUAUAAUUAAAUUAAUUUAUUUUUGAAUAUUAUUAAGUUAUAAUAAAUAAAAUUAUAA
This is a non-coding RNA of Manduca sexta (tobacco hornworm), 1391 nucleotides long. The record is from the annotation of a RefSeq genome assembly. NCBI's taxonomy places the organism in Eukaryota, Metazoa, Arthropoda, Insecta, Lepidoptera, Sphingidae.